Molecule: small nucleolar RNA, 131 nt
Filed under: Echinops telfairi (small Madagascar hedgehog)
Lineage: Eukaryota; Metazoa; Chordata; Mammalia; Afrosoricida; Tenrecidae
Description: Small nucleolar RNA SNORA31 (ENSETEG00000026609.1)
Source: RNAcentral
UUGCAUCUACUGCAGACCCAGGGCAGCCAAUGUCUGCCACCAAGGUUCCCACUACUGACGUAGGCAAAAUGGUUCCUCUUUCCACUUUCUGUCUGACUGUGGCAGUCAAGAAUGAAUGGGGAAAUGCAACA